AAAUCUUCCAGUGGCCAUUUCCUUUGAGCAUCAGUCAUGUUGGUGGGUCAGAAAGUUUUGGACUUUGGAGCAUUUGAAUUUCUGGAUUAGGGAUACCCAAACUGUGUGUGUGUGUGUGUGUGUGUGUGUGUGUGUGUGUGUGUGUGUGUAUCCUCAUCCUUUUCAACUCUUGGAAAAUAUUCCAGAGUAUAAAUAAGCCACCUUUUCUUUCAUUGUACCCUAACUUUGGAAACUCAGUCUGUUUUAAAUUGUUUAAAAUUAUAAUGUUACAGCAAUUUCUGUACAUAUACCUGAGUACACAUUUAUUAGUAUUCUUUGAGUUUUUGAGAAAUAGACUGAAUAUAUUUAAAAUUUUGAUGAUGUCAAUUUUCCUUUCAAAAAGGCCCUAUAGUCAGGUGUGGUGGCUCAAGUCUCUACUCUCAGCUAUUAAUGAUGUUGCGAGGAUUGCUUGAGUCCAGAAGUUUGAGUCCAGCCUAGACAACACGGAGAGAUCUUGUCUCUAAAAAAAAAAAACCCAAAGAAACAAAAGGCCCUAUAAUUUAUAUUCCUUUAAAAAUGAUAUGACAGUGGCUAUUUCCUUAUAGUCUUACAACCUUUAAAAAUAUUGGAUAUGAUUGUCUAACUUGUGACAACUUGAUGAACAAACAUGUUUCAUUUUAAUUUACAUUUCUCUCAUCACUAGAGACUUAGUAUUUCUUCUUUUGUGAAUUUCUUAUUUGUAUCAUUUGCCUAUCUUUCCAUUGAGUUAUGUUUUGCUAACUGAUUCACAGGAUCAAUUAACUAUUUCAAUCAUGACAUAGGUGGCAAAUAACUUUCUCUAAACUUUAUUUAUAGUAGCUUUCACAGAAUACAGAAGUUUUAUAUUUUUAUGUGGAUAUAUUUGUCAACUUGUUGGGAUUUCGAUAAAUGUUUUUUCUAUUUUUGAGAUGGAGUUUCGCUCUUGUUGCCUAGGCUGGAGUGCAAUGGUGCGAUCUCGGCUCACUGCAACAUCUGCCUACCGGGUUCAAGCGAUUCUCACGCCUCAGCCUCCCGAGUAGCUGGGAUUACAGGCAUGCACCACCACGCCUGGCUAAUUUUGUAUUUUUAGUAGAGACGGGGUUUCUCCAUGUUGGUCAGGCUGGUCUCAAACUCCCAACCUCAGGUGAUCCACCCACCUAGGCCUCCCAAAGUACUGGAACUACAGGCAUGGCAGGUGGAUCACCUGAGGUCAGGAGUUUGAGACCAGCCUGACCAACAUGGAGAAACCCCAUCUCUACU
RNAcentral lists this long non-coding RNA (1257 nucleotides) under Homo sapiens (human). RNAcentral describes it as "HSALNT0094334". Lineage: Eukaryota; Metazoa; Chordata; Mammalia; Primates; Hominidae. The record is from RNAcentral.